UAAUUAGCAUUCCUUUUAACCCUUUUCAGCAUGGUGUACUUGAAAUAAGCAAGCAUGUACUUCUUUUAGUAUUUUUCUAUAAAUUUUACAAUUUUUGUUUAUCAUUAACGAAAAUGAAGUUUCAGAAUAAUUCGUUCACUCUAAAUUAGAGGGAUUACAAGGUAAUAUAUAAACAAGCUGUACAAGAAACAAAAUAGGAAACUAAAUCAGGUCUGAUCCUAGACAUGUACAGUUCCUAGAAUUACUCCAAAAUCUAAGAUUAGCUUAAAAUGCAGAACACAAUCAGAUAAGAGAAAAUAAUGGAGAAAUAUAAUUGGAUCUGCAAAGUCAACCACAUAUUUUAACAUUCCCCCUCAAGAUGAGACAUAGAUAUAAUGCAUUCCUAGCUUGCCAGCAACAUAAUUAAACAUGAUACUUGUUGAUUCCUUUUGUAAAAAUAUCUUCUAACUAUUGUUUGGUAGUCACAAAAGGUGUAGAAAUCAUUCCAGUUUCAAUUUUCUCCUUUAUGAAAUGCCUAUACACCUCAACAUGUUCAGUUCAAUCAUGUUGAACUAGAUUUUGUGCAAUGCUGAUGAUUGCUUUAUCAUCACAAUAAAUCUUCACUGAGUCUUUAGGCUCCAUAUUCAAUUCUUUAAGUAGGAUCUUAAUCCACAUUACUUCACAUUACUUCACACUUCAAUGCUUGAUCUAGCUAAAAUAGACUGUUUUUUCACUCCUCCAUGUCAUAAGAUUUUCUCCCAUAAAAGUGCCAUAACUUGAUGUUGAUCUUCGAUCUUUGUUGGAACUUAACUAAUCUACAUUUGUGUAUGCUUCAACAAGAAGACAAUCAUUUUUAGGGACUUUGUGAAUAUCUCAAACCAUGCUUUAGGUGAUUGCUUGAGCCCAUACAAGGACUUCUUUAUCUUACACACCUUCUUAUUGUUGGAUAAGUCCUCAAACCUUGGUGGAAGGUCCAUGUGUACUUCUUCCAAAUUCCCAUGCAAAAAUGAAUUUUUCACAUUAAAUUGUUGAAGAUAUUAGUCUAGAUUAACAACUAGAGAUAAAAGGAUUCUAAUGGAAUUUGUUUUUGGCACAUGACUGAAUGUCUCUUGAUAAUCAAUUCAAAGAGUUUGCAUAUACUCCUUUGCUACCAAUUUAGCUCUAUGUCUCUUUAUUGAACCAUGCCUAUCAAAAAAAAAAAAAUGUCUCUCUAUUGAACCAUAGCUCUAUGUCUCUCUAUAAUUUUCUCUCCUUUUUUUCUUGUCUCUUGUUUUUUUCUCUUCAGCUUUUAGGCAUAUAGAGUCAGACCUUAAGGCUGACUUGAGCUGUUGCUGCUGGGUCAGUCAGAUUUGAGAAGAAUCAGGUCAUUUAUGACUGGAUAUAUAACAGAAGAGGGUUGACAUAAGGAGUAGGAUAGGUCUUCAACUCUAGUUUUCUCCCCUUGAAGAUUUGUCUUAGGAUAGUAUGAGAUAUCUUCAAAAAAUUUAACAUCCAUAAUCACAAAAAAUUUCUUUGUUGGAGGAUGGAAACAUUUGUACUGUUUUUGUGUAUAGGAGAGUAGCCUAAGAAUAUACAUCUAAGAGCUCUACGAUUAAGUUUAGACCUUUCUUGACUUUGAAUAUGGACAAAUGCAACACAUCCAAAUAUUUUAAGAGGAAGAGAAUCAAAGAGAUUUACAUUAGGAAAAUGACACUAUAAGAACAUAAACUGGAAUUUCAUCUCAAUGGCUUUGGAUGACAUAUGAUUAAUAAGAUAGGCAGCAAUUAACAUAACAUCAAUGAAGUAGAUUUUGGGGAUAUUUUUUGUAAACAUUGAAGCUCUAACUAACUCAAGUAAAUGCCUAUUUUUCCUCCCAUCUGCUCCAUUUUGCUGAGGUGUAUCAUUGCAAGAUGAGUGAUGUAUGAUCCCAUUUUCAAGUAGAUAUCAAUCUAGAAUGGUAUUGAAAAUACUCUUGCCCAUUAUUAGUCCUUAACACUUUGAUUUUGGUAUGGAAUUGGGUUUGGAUCAUCUUAUGAAAUGUUUUAGAGGAAGGUGUAGCUUCUGAUUUUUUCCUUAGAAGGUAGAUCCAUGUUAUUCUAGUGUAAUCAUCAAUAAAACUAACGGAACAUUUAUAACUUGAAUAAGAAGUAACCUGAGAUGGUCCCCAUACGUCACUAUGAAUCACAGAGAAAUGAAUUUCAAAUUUUCUAUUGCUUAAAGGAAAAUGAACAUGAUGACUCAUAGACAACUUGUAAACUUGACAUUGAAAUUUGGAAAGUUCAAAAUCAACAAAUAAUUCAAGAACUAGUAAUUUAAGAGACAAAGUUUGGUUGACCAAAUAUAUAAUGUUGCAGCCAAAUCUCCUUUUCUUCAUUAUCAACAAUCUUUGAAAGAUGAGCCUGUGUAGUUUUCUUGGCUUCGAGAGUUAGAUUGUUGGGAAUACCAGAUUGCUUCGUUUCCUAGCCCUGGAUCUAGUAGGGUGCAUGAUAUCUACCCUAGGUUUCUCUAAAUCUAAAAAAAUGGAAGAUAUGACAUCAAAAAACCAUUAUAGUAAUUAGAAAUAGAGAAUAAAAGCAAUAUACCUUUGAUCUGGAUGUUCUCAGAUCGUUUCCAAGCUGAUAGAGUAGUCGAAGAAGAAUCUAAAACUAUAAAAAGCAUUGUGUGCUUUGUCUACCCGGUGUUCUUCCACUCGAUCUCUUCUCACAUAAAACUAGACAUGAGGAAAGUGUGAGCUUUUCUCUCUAUAGGGUGGCUAGGGUUUCUCUCUAAAGGCUCUCUUUGGAAGAAGACAGACAAAAGUCUAGAACCUUAACCCCUAAGAGGGUAUUUAUAAGGCUUCCAAUGGGCUUAGGGCACCUAAUCCAACCCACUUGGGUCUUAAUUAAUUAAUUAGCCUUAUUUGACUCAAUUAAUUAAUUAGCUCGAUCUAUAAAGACAAUUCAUGAGAUCUAGUGCAACGUUGCACUUUUACCAAAAUAUCCUUAUGCACACUUAUGAACCUGAAAUCCCUCAAAACAAGUGUGCCACCAUGAAUUAUGAGCUUGAGCAAGGACUACUAGUAUCAGGACUCAUAGAAAAAUACUAGCUCCCUCUAAAGAGAAUCAACUACACUCCAGUAUCCUAUGUAAUUACAACAAGGCGAAGCUUAGGUCUAUGCCCUAUUAUCCAUUGCAUGCUGACAAGGUAGUGUUAUCACCUAUCAAGAUUACCUCUUCAAUCCUUGAGUUACAAAUCUACCUAUUAUGUGAUCAAUUGACAUACUCUAGCCCCAAAGAGCAUAUGUCAAAUUUUUGCUAAAGGAAAUGUUAUGGCCAUUAUGGAGAAAAAUUGUAUUUCUCAUUCAUAUUUUAAAAGUAUACAACCCUAGGAAAAUAAAGAAUAAGGAAAGAAUUAGAAAGUACUCUAUUAAAUAUCCUCACAAAUCAGAUUAUAUACAGAAAUAUACACACGAAGCUAUACACACACUCAAUUAUAUGUUACAAUUGUAAUAUACAGUUGUAGAGGAUAUAUAGCUGUGCAUAUAGUUGUAAUAAUCUUUAACAUGAGGAUAUACAACUGUGUGUACAAUUAUAAUAAUUUUCAAUACUCCUCUUCAAGUUGGUCAAUAAAUAUUAUUCAUUCCACCUUGAUCAUGAUUUCUUGAAAUUAGACAUUGUCUAAUCCUUUUGUUAUGACAUCAGCUAAUUGACCUCCAAGGGACCCAUAUGGCGUACAAAUUAAGUCACUAUCGAACUUCUCCUUAAUAAAAUGUCUGUCUACUUCCACAUGCUUGGUUUUGUCAUGUUGUACCAAGUUAUAUGCAAUGUUAAUGACCGACUUAUUGUUGCAAUAAAGUCUCAUUGGUGUUUUCCACUUAAUCUUAAAGUCCUUCAAGAUAAUCUUGAGCCAAAUCAACUCACAGGUUCCUUGAGUCAUUGCACGAAACUCUACUUUAAUACUAGAUCUUGCAACAACAUUCUAUUUCUUACUCCUCCGAGUUACUAAGUUCCCUCCAAGAAAAGUCUAAUAUGUUGUAGUAAACCUUCGAUCAACAAUUGAUUUUGCAUAAUUUGCAUCAGUAUAGGCCUCUAAUGAUAGCUCAAUGCUUUUCGUAAACAAAAUUCCUUUUCUUGGAGUUGCUCUUAGCUAGUGGAGGAUUGUGUAUCUAGUAUGUGGAUGAACUUCUUUCGGGUUAUGCAUAAAUUGACUCACUAGACUGAUUUCAUAGGCUAUGUUUGGUUGUGUAUUGAGAGGUAGAUCAGCCUACCGACCAAUUUUUGGUACAUACCCUUGUCUACAGCUGCAUCCUCACUUGCUUCUCCAAGCUUAUGAUUCGGAUCAAUUGGUGUAUCAGUCGGUUUACAUCCUAUUUUUCCUAUCUCCUGCAAUAAGUUAAGAACAUACUUCUGUUGGGAGACAAAAAUUCCCCUUUUUGAGUGUGCCACUUCAAUUCCUAAUAAAUACUUUAGUCUUCUAAGCUCCUUUAUUUCAAACACUUUUGCUAAACCUCUUCAAUGCUUCUUUUUCUUUAAGAUCAUUUCCAAUCAUUAUUAUAUCAUCCACAUAAACCAAUAAGGUAGUUACUCCCCCUGAGGUCGAGUGUUUAACAUGUAAGGUGUGGUCGCCGUGGUUUUGUUUAUAGCCAACAAUUAUCAUGACUUUAGCAAAUCUUCCAAACCAAGCCCGUGGAGAUUGUUUUAGCCCAUACAAUGCUUUCUUCAAUUUACAUACCUUUUUUUCCUUUCAAGUGCAUGUUAAAACCAAGUGGCAGAUCCAUAUAAAUUUCUUCUUUGAGCUUUCCAUGUAAGAAUGCAUUUUUCACAUCAAAUUGUUGUAAUUCCUAGUCAAAUUGGGCAGCCAAAGAGAGUAAAACUCUCACAAUGUUCAUCUUAGCUACUGGUGCAAAAGUCUCUUGGUAAUCUACUCCAUACGUCUGAGUAUAGCCUUUGGUAAUGAGUCUGACUUUUUAUCUCUCAAGAGAACCAUCCACCUUGUACUCUAUUGUGAACACCCACUUGCACUCUACUGCAACUUACUAGACACAAAAUACAACUUACUAAACAUAAUAAAUAAAGUUUGGUCUUUGUUCUUCCGUUGCACAUGACUGCCACUUUGGUAGUGCAUUGUACUCCAGGGCAAAAAGAACUUGCCCAUGAGUUUGUAUCUAAUUCUUUAUAACAGUCUGAAAAAUCUUAAAUAUUAAAAGUAGGAUGAGCUUGAAUAUUUGUAAUUCAAUUUUGGUUCUAAAGCAUUUGAACUGGUGAAUCUGACUCCUUGCACCUUGCCUUCUAAAGCACAGAUGAGUGACGAGACUGGAUAUGCAGCAUCCCAUUUUAGACCUGUUAUCUUUAGUAAAAGACAAUUGACUAGAUACACUGCUAGUCAAGGACCACUCUGCUACUUCAGACAAGUCAUGUAUGGAUCAGCCAUCAGAAUCAAUGCAAUCCAUCUCAUAAAGCAACUGCAACCUUCUGGAAGGAAAAAUCUUCAGACUUCCAAGCAAAACAAUACGUAUAUUUCACUUGGAAAAAUCCCCCUGAUUGACUGCGCAUAAGAUCUCCUUUCACCACACAACUAGCUAGAUUGAUUAUUACUAACUAUUAUUGUACAAUCAUUUCUUAAUUCUCAGAGGGUUUUUCUUUCUUUCUUUCUUUCUUUUUUUU
Molecule: long non-coding RNA, 5600 nt
Organism: Vitis vinifera (wine grape)
Lineage: Eukaryota; Viridiplantae; Streptophyta; Magnoliopsida; Vitales; Vitaceae
Exons: 2
Source: RefSeq, a predicted model, not a curated record